GAUCCUGGCUCAGGAUGAACGCUAGCUACAGGCUUAACACAUGCAAGUCGAGGGCAUCAGGAACAAGCUUGCUUUGUUGCUGGCGACCGGCGCACGGGUGAGUAACGCGUAUCCGACCUACCAUAACUCGGGCACAGCCGCUCGAAAGAGCGAUUGAUUCCCGAUAUGUCCUUGGAGUAGAUUCAAUGAUGAAAGAUUAAUCGGUAACGGAUGGGGAUGCGUGACAUUAGAUAGUAGGCGGGGUAACGGCCCACCUAGUCUACGAUGUCUAGGGGUUCUGAGAGGAAGGUCCCCCACACUGGAACUGAGACACGGUCCAGACUCCUACGGGAGGCAGCAGUGAGGAAUAUUGGUCAAUGGUCGGAAGACUGAACCAGCCAAGUAGCGUGAAGGAUGAAGGUUCUAUGGAUUGUAAACUUCUUUUAUACGGGAAUAAAACCUCCCACGUGUGGGAGCUUGUAUGUACCGUAUGAAUAAGCAUCGGCUAACUCCGUG
RNAcentral lists this ribosomal RNA (495 nucleotides) under uncultured bacterium. Its description in RNAcentral is "bacterial SSU rRNA". It matches the Rfam family "Bacterial small subunit ribosomal RNA", at positions 15 to 507 of the family's 1533-position model. The record is from RNAcentral.